CAAUAGCGUAUAUUAAAGUUGUUGCAGUUAAAAGCUCGUAGUUGGAUUUCGGAGUGGGCCAGUUGGUCCGCCGCAAGGUGUGUUACUGACUGGUUUGCUCUUCUUCGCAAAGACUGCGUGUGCCCCUUAAAAUGAGUGUGCGUAGGAUUUACGACGUUUACUUGAAAAAAUGAGUGUUCAAAGCAGGCUAUUGCUUGAAUACAUGAGCAUGGAAUAAUGGAAUAGGACUUUGGUCCCAUUUUGUUGGUUUCUAGGGCCGAAGUAAUGAUUAAGAGGGACAAUUGGGGGCAUCCGUAUUUCGUUGUCAGAGGUGAAAUUCUUGGAUUUACGAAAGACGAACAACUGCGAAAGCACUUGCCAAGGAUGUUUUCAUUGAUCAAGACGAAAGUUAGGGGGAUCGAAGAUGAUCAGAU
RNAcentral lists this ribosomal RNA (413 nucleotides) under uncultured eukaryote. Its description in RNAcentral is "SSU rRNA". It matches the Rfam family "Eukaryotic small subunit ribosomal RNA", at positions 592 to 1013 of the family's 1831-position model. The record is from RNAcentral.